AUCAUAAAUCUAAACUCUCUUCAUGAUUCAGCAACUUUCACUUCAAAACAACCUAACAGCAAGCAGUCAGAUCAGUUCUUUUACCAAAAUGGCAGCAAGAAAUGUUGGUAAUUUUGGUUAUGACCACUUAUCAAAAGCCAACAUAAAAAUUAAAAAAUAAACACUAAUUUGUCCAUAAAUCAUAUAUUUUUGCUACCACAUUAUAGGCUAAUAUUCAUAUAAAUAUGAUACUGCAAGAUCAACUACAAAUGAGAUCCAAAUAAAUUGCAAAUUUAGAAGUCCAAACCUUAAGAGUCAUAUAGUCG
RNAcentral lists this unclassified non-coding RNA (305 nucleotides) under Hevea brasiliensis (rubber tree). Lineage: Eukaryota; Viridiplantae; Streptophyta; Magnoliopsida; Malpighiales; Euphorbiaceae. The record is from RNAcentral.